CCGAUUCAAGAUGAUGAACUCAUCUCCUACAUCCUCCAUGGCCUUGAUCAGGACUAUCAGCCCCUGGUCUCAGCUCUGGAUG
RNAcentral lists this small nucleolar RNA (82 nucleotides) under Triticum aestivum (bread wheat). RNAcentral's name for it is "Small nucleolar RNA Z247". It matches the Rfam family "Small nucleolar RNA Z247". Rfam says of the family: Z247 is a member of the C/D class of snoRNA which contain the C (UGAUGA) and D (CUGA) box motifs. Most of the members of the box C/D family function in directing site-specific 2'-O-methylation of substrate RNAs. The record is from Rfam by way of RNAcentral. Lineage: Eukaryota; Viridiplantae; Streptophyta; Magnoliopsida; Poales; Poaceae.